GCACUUUAAGCGAGGAGGAGGCUACUCUAGUUAAUACGGCUAGGGAUAGUGGAUAAGCCAUUUACUCGCAGAAUAAGCACCGGCUAACUCUGUGCCAGGGAUCAGCCGCGGUAAUACGGGAGCCAGCAGCCGCGUAGUAAUACGGGACGCGACAGCAGCCGCGGUAAUACGGG
RNAcentral lists this unclassified non-coding RNA (173 nucleotides) under uncultured Acinetobacter sp. RNAcentral describes it as "contains 16S-23S intergenic spacer region". The record is from RNAcentral. Lineage: Bacteria; Pseudomonadati; Pseudomonadota; Gammaproteobacteria; Moraxellales; Moraxellaceae.